Long non-coding RNA from Oncorhynchus tshawytscha (Chinook salmon), 1703 nucleotides. The record is from Ensembl. NCBI's taxonomy places the organism in Eukaryota, Metazoa, Chordata, Actinopteri, Salmoniformes, Salmonidae.
CUGUCAGGUAGGAUGGGGAGUGUUGCUGCACAGCUAUUUUCAGGUCUCUUUUCAGAGAUGUUUGAUUGGGUUCAAGUCUGGGCUCUGGCUGGGUCACUCAAGGACAUACCAAACUUCUUCCAUUUCAGAAUGAUGGAGGCCACUGUGUUCUUGGGGACCUUCAAUGCUGUAGAAAUUGUUUGGUACCCUUCCCCAGAUCGGUGCCUCGACACAAUCCUGUCUCGGAGCUCUACGGACAAUUCCUUCGACCUCAUGGCUUGGUUAUUGCUCCGACAUGCACUGUCAACUGUGGGACCUUAUAUAGACAGGUGUGUGCCUUUCCAAAUAUUGUCCAAUCCAUUGACUUUACCACAGGUGGACUCAAAUCAAGUUGUAGAAACAUCUCAAGGGUUAUCAAUGGAAACAGGAUGCACCUGAGCUCAAUUUACAGUCUCAUAGCAAAUGGUUGAAUACUUACUGUUAUUGUGAUGUCUUUAUGGGGUAUUGUGAUGUCAUUAUGGGGUAUUGUGACGUCAUUAUGGGGUAUUGUGAUGUCAUUAUGGGGUAUUGUGACGUCAUUAUGGGGUAUUGUGACGUCAUUAUGGGGUAUUGUGACGUCAUUAUGGGGUAUUGUGACGUCAUUAUGGGGUAUUGUGAUGUCAUUAUGGGGUAGUGUGUGUAGGCUGAUGAGGGAAAAAAAACACGUAAUCCAUUUUAGCAUAAGGCUGUAACGUAAACAAAAUGUGGAAAGUCAAGGGGUCUGAACUUUCUGAAUGCCCUGUACGCGUUCAAAUGUGACUGUCUACAGUCUACAGUGUGAUAGUGUGUCUGAGUGUGUGUGUGUGUCUGAGUGUGUGUUUGUCUGAGUGUGUGUGUGUGUGUCUGAGUGUGUGUGUGUCUGAGUGAGUGUGUGUCUGAGUGAGUGUGUGUCUGAGUGAGUGUGUGUCUGAGUGAGUGUGUGUCUGAGUGAGUGUGUGUCUGAGUGAGUGUGUGUCUGAGUGAGUGAGUGUGUGUGUCUGAGUGAGUGUGUGUCUGAGUGAGUGUGUGUGUGUAUCUGAGUGUGUGUGUUUUUUCUCUCACUACAAUACAUGAUUUCAAGAACAAUACUUCAACCCUUCUGUUGGUCUUCAUCCAUACACAGAUAAUCCAUACGUCUUCUGUUGGUCAGUCUCUGUCCCCGUCUUGGUCGAUGAUCGGCUGUGUGAAGAUUGUCUAGUCUCUGCUGGGGUUCCUAGGGGUUCAGUGACAGUGGAAUAGUGUGGAGGUAGAGAGACUGUAGGACUGUGAGCAGGGCCAAUAUAAUAGAGAUGUACAUAUCAUUGGCAGAUCCAGCAUAGACUAGAAGGUGAGAACUAGAAUACAGUCCAUGUGUGAAUGAAUGGGAGACAUCUGGCUACAUAGCAUUUCUCUCCCUCUCUCCUGUCUGUUUCGCUCACUCAUUGUCCACCUCUCUUUCUCUUUUACUCUCUUCUCCUCUCGAUCUCUCUCUUCUCUCUCUCUCAUAGCCAUAGAGUGUGCCAGUGUCGUCCUCUUCUGGGGGAUGAUGGGUAAAACUCUGGAGCGUGAUGAUGAAAGUUACACGUACACACUAGGAAACGCAGACACCUGAGAGAGAGAGAGAGAGAGAUAGGGGAUUGGAUAAAAAGAGAUAGAGACAGGAGAGGGUGAGAGAAAGAGAAAGACAGAGACCAGAGAGAGAUGGAGAGAGAGAAAGAGAGGGUGAG